UACAGAGGGUGCAAGCGUUAAUCGGAUUUAUUGGGCGUAAAGCGCGCGUAGGCGGUUACUCAAGUCGGAUGUGAAAGCCCUCGGCUUAACUGAGGAAGUGCACCCGAAACUGAGUAGCUAGAGUACUAAAGAGGGUCGCGGAAUUCCCGGUGUAGAGGUGAAAUUCGUAGAUAUCGGGAGGAACACCGGUGGCGAAGGCGGCGACCUGGGUAGAUACUGACGCUGAGGCGCGAAAGCGUGGGGAGCAAACAGG
RNAcentral lists this ribosomal RNA (253 nucleotides) under uncultured bacterium. RNAcentral's name for it is "partial 16S ribosomal RNA". It matches the Rfam family "Bacterial small subunit ribosomal RNA", at positions 524 to 776 of the family's 1533-position model. The record is from RNAcentral.